Molecule: small RNA, 29 nt
Filed under: Bombyx mori (domestic silkworm)
Lineage: Eukaryota; Metazoa; Arthropoda; Insecta; Lepidoptera; Bombycidae
Description: ovarian small RNA-20400
Source: RNAcentral
UACAUCUAACCUAACCCUAUACCUAGGAC